Long non-coding RNA from Asparagus officinalis (garden asparagus), 437 nucleotides. RefSeq lists it as uncharacterized. The transcript has 3 exons. NCBI's taxonomy places the organism in Eukaryota, Viridiplantae, Streptophyta, Magnoliopsida, Asparagales, Asparagaceae. The record is from RefSeq and is a predicted model, not a curated record.
CAAAUAUUCCUCAAGGCUAGGAGUAGGGGGUAAAAAUGCACUUGACACGCUCGAUCAUGCCAUAGAAGUCAAUGCCAUGGAUUACCAUGGCCCAAGAACACGACGUCCAAUAUCGCCAGCAUCGAUGAGCGAGGACGAUGAUUCUGAGUAGAAUAUUGUUGACAACCCAUAGUAGAUUUUGUCAUGUGAUAAUGCCCCUUUACUAAGUUGCUUACAUAUAAUAUCAUGGUCAAUAAGUUAUAUUUUUGUCCUUUGUUAUGUUUAAUUAAGGUUUGAGAAAUUAUGUUUAUCAAUUAUGUUCGUCUCCGAUACUCUACAGGAGAAAUCAUUUCUGUACUUCGCAGAGUUUUUAGUCUAUUUGCCCCUCUUUUAUAGAGUCUUCAUGUUUCCUGUGUAUCGCCAUGGAUUAGUUAUGUACGCGGUUUUUGUUUCUCGUA